Molecule: ribosomal RNA, 498 nt
Filed under: uncultured bacterium
Lineage: Bacteria
Description: partial 16S ribosomal RNA
Rfam family: Bacterial small subunit ribosomal RNA
Source: RNAcentral
AUUGAACGCUGGCGGCAUGCCUUACACAUGCAAGUCGAACGGUAACAGGUCUUCGGAUGCUGACGAGUGGCGAACGGGUGAGUAAUACAUCGGAACGUGCCUAGUAGUGGGGGAUAACUACUCGAAAGAGUGGCUAAUACCGCAUGAGAUCUACGGAUGAAAGCAGGGGAUCGCAAGACCUUGUGCUACUAGAGCGGCCGAUGGCAGAUUAGGUAGUUGGUGGGAUAAAAGCUUACCAAGCCGACGAUCUGUAGCUGGUCUGAGAGGACGAUCAGCACCACUGGGACUGAGACACGGCCCAGACUCCUACGGGAGGCAGCAGUGGGGAAUUUUGGACAAUGGGCGCAAGCCUGAUCCAGCAAUGCCGCGUGCAGGAUGAAGGCCUUCGGGUUGUAAACUGCUUUUGUACGGAACGAAAAGCCCCGGGUUAAUACCCUGGGGUCAUGACGGUACCGUAAGAAUAAGCACCGGCUAACUACGUGCCAGCAGCCGCCGCGG